GCCUCAGCUGAUGCCAUGUGGAACAGAGAUGAACUGCCGCUGCCGAGCUCUGCCCACGUUGCAGAAUCAUGAGCAAAUAUGUUGUGGAUUGGCUGUAACUCUGCUCUGGGAUCCAGGCUGAAGGAGCAGGCUCUAUCUGGAACAUUACUAGUCUCCAGGCAGAAGAAAAAGAGACAAUGGAAUGGAUGAUUGAAUGGAUGAAUGAACUCCACAGGAAGAUGAGGAAAGCCUUUAUGGAUGGAGUGAGCUUGCAGCAGAGUCUCAAAGGGCCUACCUGGAAUGCCAUGCUCCCUCACCGCCAAUGCUGCCCUACCAAAUUCAGCCCAUAGACCUUCAAAAACCAAUUCAAAUCUCCAAGAAUCCAAGUCAGAAGAAAUUGCUGCCUCCUCUGAAUAAUUAUUGCUGACACUGAUUGCACUCUGUGCUUAUUGCUCAGUCCUUUGAGUUAUCUCGUCAAUAUUUCCCAUUUGUCCUAUAUCCAUCCCCACCUAGGAAUGAAUGGGACUUCAUGAUUCUGUCUUUCUAGUAUUAGAUGUCUUGCUCAGUAAAAAAUGUUUACUGUCUUGUAAAUUAAUUUAAAUAUAUGGUAAAAUAAUA
Molecule: long non-coding RNA, 597 nt
Filed under: Homo sapiens (human)
Lineage: Eukaryota; Metazoa; Chordata; Mammalia; Primates; Hominidae
Description: non-protein coding lnc-ABHD2-1:5
Source: RNAcentral